GCAGGGCAUGGUGGUGCACGCCUGUGAUCCCAGUAACUUGGGAGGCUGAGGCAGGAGGAUCGUGAGUUCAAAGGCAAUGAGGCCCUAAGCAACUUUGCAAGACCCUGUCUCAA
RNAcentral lists this small RNA (113 nucleotides) under Marmota monax (woodchuck). The record is from RNAcentral. Lineage: Eukaryota; Metazoa; Chordata; Mammalia; Rodentia; Sciuridae.